UGAUGCAAGGAUGACCUACCGCACUACUCUAGAUCUCCUCUUCAAAAUGAGGACAUUUGUCCCCAACUACAAAUGUGACACCCAGAAAACCCUCAUAUCCACCAUUGGGGGACUUGGCCAUGAUACCACCUUCCAUAUGGCAGACACAUUAGGUCUCUACAAGAUUCCACAGGUAAGAGGUAUGAAGGGGUGAAUGAGAAUUUUUUCUUCCUGCCUCUAUGGGUUGCUUCCAUGUUUGUUUUACACAGGGCGGACCUAUUGGGAAGUAUUCUAGCCAGUAGUUUUACUCAGAACAGACUUAUCAAAAUUAAUGCAUCUAGCUUAGUCAUGAUCCUUAAUUUAAAAUUUAGAUCUAUACAAGCCUGCAUCUUCAUCCCAUAUUCCUUGUAGAUUGCUUUUUCUGUUUUAUAUCUAGGGAUGUGAGAUUGAACUGCUCACAGCUCAAAUCAAAAUGUGCAAUCAGAAAAAGAAAGCUUAGAAUUUGUGGAAUAAAAAGCCAAAUGGUACAGAGAGAAUGUUUUCCAUACGAUUUGAGAUUAUAUUCACAUUUUCUUUCAGUUUGCAUAUGGUUCAUAUCCCUCAGCAGAGAGUGAUACAAGACAGGUUCCUUCUUUUUAUCACAUGGUGCCCAGUGAAGCCCACCAGUUUCUUGGGAUUAUCCGCUUGCUUAAGCAUUUUGGAUGGACAUGGAUCGGACUCUUUGCUCUGAAUGACAACAGUGGGGAACAUUUCUUGCAGAACCUCGAACCAUUGCUUUCUGAAAAUGGAAUUUGCUCAGCUUUCACACAAAAAAUCCCAAAACAAGUCCACUAUGAUAAUGUGGAUGAAAUGCAUGAUAUAGCCUUGAAUAUCUAUGCACAAAUCAGAAAUAAUAAAGUCACUACAUUUAUUGUUUAUGGAGAAUCUCUGGCAAUUAUAGCACUGAGAAUUGUUAUAUAUCUGCCAGAUCCUACAAAUAAGAAAAGCACAUCAUUUAAAAAGGUAUGGAUCUUUACAGCACAGACUGAUUUCAUAACUAUGGGUUUUAGUAAGGUUUGGAGUGUCCUGCUCUUCCAGGGUUCCCUUUCCUUCACAAUCCACUCACAAAAUCUUCCAGCAUUCAAGGAAUUUCUUCACAGCAUAAAGCCUUCCUUGACACAAGGAGAUGGUUUCAUCAAAGUCUUCUGGGAGCAAGCAUUUGACUGUGUAUUUCCAAAUCUUGAUGUGCCAAUGGAGUUCAGUGGCAUGUGUUCUGGAGAGGAGAGGUUGCAGAGUCUUCCAAGGUCUGUGUUUGAAAUGAGCAUGACUGGUCACAGCUACAGCAUCUAUUAUGGUGUCUAUGCUGUGGCUCAUGCCUUGCAUAACAUUUACUCACCCAGAUCCAAGCAGAGAGCAAUGGCAAAAAGUGAAAGAUUAAAACUUCAGGACCUGGAGCCUUGGCAGGUAUUGUUCUGAGAAUGAAGAGAAAAAAUAUCAUUAUCUGCAUGACUUUAUAUACCACUGGAACUUAAGACAUUUCUACUUGGUUAUCUAAUAAAACUAUUAUUAUUUAGAAGUCAUCUGAAGGCAGCCCUGUAUCAGGAAGUUUUUAAUGUUUGAUUAUAUUUUAAUAUGUGUUGGAAGUCUCCCAGAGUGGAUGGGGCGACCUUGCCAGAUGGUUAGGGUAUAUAUAAUAAAUGAUGAUUAUGAUUAUAAGAUAGUAUUCCAGAAAAUUAUCAAGAAAUUUAAUUCAGACUCAGAAACUGCUGCUAAGACUACAAUAGCUAAGAAUAUCUGAAUGGUUGGAGAAAAUUUAAUCCAUAGUAACUAUGAUUACACCAACUUAUAAACCAGCCUAACAGCUCUAUGGAAAAAAACAUAAUUUUUUGUUAUAUUUUGGAAGAAGAAGUUCAGUUAUAAUGUCCAAGCUUAUGCUGCUUUCAACCUCUAGUAAUUGUAUUUAUUUAGGCUGCCCUUAAUUUCUUUUAUUUAUUGUUAAAAGAAAAAAAUAAGGACUUUAUCAAAUUAGGAAUCAGAAGUUCUGUUUAAAUGGUAUUGCAAAUUGUAUUCACUGAAAAAAAAAUAAUGUUUGCAUCUUAAAUUGUGUACUUUUCUCCAAAUAAUAUUUUUCUUAGAGUUCUUCACAAUUCAAUAAUAUAACAGCUACAAAAACUACAGUAAAACAGGAAGAAUACAGAGUCCUUUCCUAGAGGCAAUUCACAGCUCUCACCUGAGAUCCCUCCUAUUUCCUCCCUUCCUCUCACUUUGGGGGCUAAUGCUUCCCUGUCUCCCACCUAGGGCCCUCCAUCACCACCCCUAUGAAUAGUUAAUCCCUAGACCUUAACAAGGGCCCCAAAUAUAGGACCUCACAAGAAAAAAAGAAAAGAGGGAAAGGAGAAAAUAAAGGGAAUAUUAGAGAUGAAUAAAAAGGGCUUCCAAUGCAUAAUAAAGUCUAUCUGUUGUGUCAAAAUCACAGAUAUUUUGCACAUGUUCUUUGUUAACUGAAGCUAUGUUACUAUAUCUAAAUAAGCUUUAUGAAGAAAUGUUUCUGUAAACCAUGGCAUUUUAUUCAAAAUCUCAUUUAUGCUAUUUCCCAUUCAACUCCAUUUUCUCUUUCUAUUAGCUACACCCUGUUCUUCAGGACAUUUCAUUUAACAACUCAGCUGGAGAAACCGUGUCCUUUACUGAUCAAAGAGAAGUGGGAGGGGGAUUUGACAUCAUGAACAUAGUCACGUUCCCGAACAGGUCCUUCCUUCAAUUGAAGAUUGGAUGGGUUGAUUCUGAUGCAGCUGAUGGAAAAGAAUUCAGCAUUGAUGAGGACAUGAUUAUAUGGCACAAUGAUUUUAACCAGGUCUGGAAUCUAGGCAGGGGUGACUACUUGAAAAAUAUAUUGGGGGGGGGGAUAAGCCCUGCACCGAUUAAUCAGUUGCAAGACGUGGCUCAUGCACACAUUUGGAAUGACAAUGCCCAUAACCUCUGGGAGAGGCUUGACCCCUCAAUUAUUUUACUGAGGGUGUAUUGAAUGGACCUUGGCCCCUAGAAGUUGGCUCCUAUGACUGUAGAGUUUACUUGUAGGCUCCACAUUCUCCUACUGAUGAGCAUACUGAUAUACUCCUACACUGAAUUCUUGUUUAAGCUACUUGUACAAUGACCUCUUAGGCCGGUGGGGCAGAGUAUGGAUGAUGUUUCAGGUUAACUUGUUUCAUUCACUUUGAGUUUGCGGCCUCAAAGGCAGUGUGAAUUUUAAAAAGGCUUACCAAAUACUGACAGGUUUAGGAGAGUCAUAGAAGUUUUGAAUAUCUGCCACAUAUGGUAUUUCCACUAUAAAGUUUCUGAUUUCUGAAAGUUAGUUAACAAAAUGACCCUAGAUUUAUCUGUAUUUUGUAUUUUGCCUCUUUCAUUCCAGUGUCUUAACAAAAAUGGGCUGAUGGUUGGACCAUGUAUGAAGCAGCAGUCCUAUGCCAAUGUUUCUGGGAUGAGAGAUCCCCUUUUUAUUUGAACUGCAGAAGCUGAAAUAUUCUUUCAAAUAUUUAUCCCUUCUGAAAUGAUUUCCUGUUUAUUAAUAGGUAAUGCCCAUUUCUGUGUGCAAUGACUACUGUCGUGCGGGCUAUCAGAAGAAAAGUAAGGAAGGACAGAAAUUUUGCUGCUAUGAUUGUACUCCAUGUCCAGAAGGGAAGAUUUCAAACCAGAAUGGUAUGUGACAGUUUUCAUUGUACAAGAUUAGCAAGUUUCUAUUGAAAACCACACUAUCCUGCUUCGAGUGGUGUGAAUAUUUUAUUGCUACUUUCCAGUAACACGUCAUCAAUACGUUCAAAAAUAAAAGAGCCUGGUGAAAUCCCAAAUUGGUGGAUCUGAAAUUAAUCCCCCCAUCCCCAAAAAUGAUUUCACUGUGCACAUAAUUUAAGUGAAGCCAGUGCUUAUUUUCCCAGUGUGCCUUCCCCUAAACAUUUUGUGUAUCUAAGUUUGGCCUCAGUGAGGAGCAAUAUUUCAAUAUGAGUAGGAAAAGAAGAGUACCCCUAAACAUUUCUUUUUUUAGAAAAAAAAAGCACCGAGUGAACCUGUCAAGUAGUAAAAUGGUACAGCAGUUGAAGAUUUGCAAAUAAUGUGUGUAGUCAGAAUGAAACAUUCUAGACAUCAUCCAUGGUGUUAUUAGGCCAGAACUUUAUUCAUUAUGCUUCAGGGAAGAGGAAAUGUCAUGGCACUAAUUCCAACCAGCAUUUGCUGUUUGAAUGGCAUUCCACUUGAUGUUGUAGCUGCUUUUGACAUCCUUCAGAGUUGAACAAGGUUGGAGCUUUGUAUUUGGCAAGACAGGCAUUCAGGUUCCCAGGAAGGAACUGUAUAUGUAUGGUGGGAGAGAGAGAUAGGCAACACUGGGCCCCAUCUGUCCAAGUGGCAUGCCUUGCUCUUAUCAAUUUAUAGACCCUUUACAGUCCACCCUAUUGCCUAACAAUGGCUACUGGCACUUACUGAAGGAAAGGCAAAAACAUCAUCACCUAGAGACAAUUAAAUAUGUGAGCAAAAUAUGUUUUGGUUUAUUUGGUCUCAGUUAACUGUCCUCCCAAAAAAACCAAGGUUCCACUCACUAUGCCAUCUUGGUGAAACAGCAUGGCCACUUACCAAGAUGUAAAAAACAAAACAAAACCUGUUUCAGAUUCAGCAGGAAUGUAGUGAGUAAUUCAAAUAUACAACCUGCUCUCUGACAAUAAAGAAGGUUCCAAAUAGAUCAACAGAAUCAAUAACGGCUACAUAGUAGACAAAAAUCACUGAUGAAUUGCAAAUGGAGUUUGACUUUCUUCUGUUUGUCAGAUAUGUCUGACUGCUUCAGAUGCCCAGAAGAUCAUUAUGCAAACAAGAAGAAAAAUGGAUGCAUCCCUAAAACUAUCAACUUUCUUUCUUAUGAAGAACCUUUAGGGAUCAUUUUGGCCUCACUUUCUCUUUCUUUUUCCCUGAUCACAACUUUGGUGCUUGCAGCGUUUAUUCAACACAAAGACACUCCAAUUGUCAAAGCCAACAACAGGGAUCUCACCUACGCUCUCCUCAUCGCCCUCCAAUUCUGCUUCCUUUCAUCGCUUCUAUUCAUUGGACACCCUGGCAAAAUGACCUGCCUUUUUCGCCAAACAACUUUCGGCAUUGUCUUCUCUGUGGCUGUUUCUUGUGUGUUGGCCAAAACUAUCACGGUAGUUGCAGCUUUCAUGGCCACCAAGCCUGGGUCCAGUAUGAGGAAGUGGGUAGGGAAAAAACUGUCUAACUCUGUUGUCCUUUCCUGCUCCCUCGUUCAAGCGAUUAUUUGUACUGGGUGGUUGAUGACCUCUUCCCCAUUUCCAGAUCAAGACAUGCACUCGGUAAUGAAAGAAAUCAUUGUGCAAUGUAACGAAGGUUCAGUGACCAUGUUUUACUGUGUCCUCGGCUACAUGGGCCUCCUGGCCAUUGCCAGCUUCAUUGUGGCAUUUGCAGCUCGCAAAUUACCUGACAGUUUUAAUGAAGCCAAGUUUAUUACCUUUAGCAUGUUGCUGUUUUGCAGUGUUUGGCUGUCUUUUGUCCCAACUUACCUAAGCACCAAAGGGAAAUCCAUGGUGGUGGUGGAGAUCUUCUCUAUCUUGUCCUCCAGUGCUGGAUUGUUGGUCUGCAUCUUUGCCCCUAAAUGCUACAUCAUUAUUCUGAAGCCAGAGCUGAACAACAGGGAGCAAAUGAUAAGGAGAAGGAUGUAAAUUCAGCCUUACUUCUUCUUUCUAUUCUAUUCUAUUGUUAUAUAUAAGGGAGUUUUCCGUAAAAGUGGUUACUUUGAGGUGAUACUCUUUUGUAGGAUCAAUUUGGAAUAUUUAGGGUUUUCAAAUUCAAGCAGAUUAAAAUCCGCUGUCACCUUAGCUCAGGAGUGAGGAACAACUUGGUGGUGGGCCCUGUUUUGCCCAGCUUAGGUGUCAAUUCUCAGGCCAUUCCUGGCAAAGCACGCCCACCUUAUUCUCAGCUGACAUCAUGUGGGACUUCAUAGGAACUAUCAAAAGCAGAAGGUGAGUUCCCAGAUUGUCUCUUCCCAGAAGAUCCCCCUGGAGGGAUGCUUCCAGCCUUCCCAGCCUCUCAAUUUAAAAGUCUUAUAAGAAGAUUCUGCAGUAGAAGGACUUUGAGGAACAUCAUGAGAGAGAUCUUUCUAAGAGCCUGUGAAACUCCUAUGUUAUCUUGUUAAGUUGUCUGUUGUUCAUGAAACUUUAUUGUAUUUAUUGGACUCAGAUGCAGCUUUUUAUUAUGUUUUUAUAUUUGCCACCAUAUUGUUCUAUUAUCCUGUUCUGAUACUAUAUUUGUGAUGUUUGAUUUUAACAUGUGUCCAUUUAUCCUUUGUUUAUGGGAAUUUGCCCACCAUUAUAAAAUCAUAGCACUGUAUGGUUGGAGGAGUCCCUCAGGGUCAUCUGUUCCAGCCCUUUAAAUGAUUGAACCUCAAUUAAGCAUAAUAAUAAUAAUAAUAAUAAUAAUAAUAAUAAUAAUAAUUUAUUAUUUAUACCCCGCCCAUCUGGCUGAGUUUCCCCAGCCACUCUGGGCAGCUCCCAAUCAAGUGUUAAAAACAGUACAGCGUUACAUGUUAAAAACUUCCCUGAACAGGGCUGCCUUAAGAUGUCUUCUGAAUGUCAGGUAGUUGUUUAUCUCUUUGACAGCUGAUGGGAGGGUGUUCCACAGGGUGGGCGCCACUACCGAGAAGACCCUCUCUCUGGUUCCCUGUAGCCUCACUUCUCGCAAUGAGGGAACCGCCAGAAGGCCCUCGGCGCUGGAUUUCAGUGUCCAGGAUGAAUGAUGGGGGUGGAGACACUCCUUCAGGUAUACAGGACCGAGGCUGUUUAGGGCUUUAAAGGUCAGCACCAACACUUUGAAUUGUGCUCAGAAAUGUACUGGGAGCCAGUGCAUCCAUGACAGAUGACUAUUCGACCUCUGCUUAAAAACCUUCAAUGAGGGAGAGUACACCACCUUCUGGGGAAGUCUAUUCCACUGUUGAACAGCACUUAUAAUCAGAAAGUUAAUCCUGAUGUUUAGUUGGAAUCUUUUUUCUAAUAACUUGCAUCCAUUGGAUGCGGCUCUACCCUCUCAAUGAUGUUAAUGACAAUGAUGUUGAUGAUGAUGAUGGGUAAUGGGAGCCCAUGAUGCUCCAGGAGGGGGAGAUAGUUUCCACUGAAAGUGAUAAUAAAAUGGGUGCAGGGGAGGGGAGCUUGGUUUUUGCUAGAGAAACUGCUUCCACCUCACUUAUCAAGCCACUUUGUAACUGUCCAUUUAAAAGACUCAUUGCCUUCUGAAUCCCAGUGGCAGACAGGUUGGUUGUCCCAUCCACCUAUCAAACAUUGUCCAUCGAGGACUGGGAGAAUCUGGCCAAAUGUGGGGAAAUGUUACUGACUCCUGCUUUAGGACAAGAAACUUAAUAAUAAAAACGAACUUUUGUUGAUAGAAAAGCAGUAGGGAAAGGCAUUGAAAAGUGUGGAAUGAAUGGUAGCUUGAUUUACUUUCAAUUCACUUAUAAAAAUGUAUUUUUUAUAUGGGACUGAUUUACCUUAUAUUACUUUGUUCUGUAAUACUGAAUUAUAUGUCUUUCAGUAAAGAAACAUGUUAACUGAAAUUAAAUAUCUGAGUGUCUUCCUUGAACCUUAAAUGCUUUGCUUGCUAAUAUCGAGCGGGAAUAAAUACGCUCCUCAAUGUGGUGGCCCUUUCUGGGAUAAUCUAAGAUGGUACUGUAAUUGCUGAACUAAAACUUUGAUACAUCAAAGGCAUCCUCAAUAUUUACAUUAUGUAGGGCAAUAUAUGCCCCACACAUUUAAGAACAGGACAGAACAAAUCAUAUGUUUUACUGGUCCCAGAAUAAUAAUAAUAAUAAUAAUAAUAAUAAUAAUUAAUAAUAAUUUUAUUUAUAUCCUAUCCUCCCCGGCUGAAGCCGGACUCAGGGCAGCUAACAUAAAAUAUAUAACACGGGUAUAAAAUCAAACAGUAAUUAAAUUACCUCCUAAAAACAGGUCAGGAUCGAAUUAAAAUCUAAUUAGAUGGCUUUCCACAGGAUUAGAGUUGGGAUCAGUAAAUACUCAUCAGGUCCAACUGUUUUCAACAGGUAUCUAAAAGAACAAACUUAUUGUGAAUGCCUAAAGCUAUUAGGAGUUCCAAAAGUGUUGCCACAUCUUAAAGGGAAAUGGCACUUUAAGUUGCCUUUAUCUCAAAAUUUAGCACUCCUGUUUACCCAAUGAAAUAACUCUGAAUUUCCCGUUGUCAUUAGCUUACCAGGAAAAAGUCUUUCGGUCACUGUAGUUCAUUGAUUUCACUCAUUAGCAAAUUCUCCUCUGAAACUGCAAAUUGAUGAACUUCAUUUGCAGUAUGGUGACAAAAUUCUACCAGCACAGACUUGCCUUGGCAAUGAGAACCACAUGAUCUUACCCAAUAUCACUUGAGGGUUAGAUAUCUAUGAUGUAUUAUUAUUAUCAUCAAUAAUAACCCCAACAACAACAACAACAAUUAUCUAUGCCUCCCCUGCCCUUCUUCAUAUUUUCAGUGCUUUUGCUUACCCAGAAUAUGACCUUGAAUUCUGAUAAUGUCUCGUGAUGCUCUGAAUAGGGAACAGAGCAACGUGAAUGUGUCGGACAGUAUAAAGUAGACAUGAAACCCUGUUAAAAUUUAGACUAGGUGUUCUGUGCUCUUCCCUUUCUGUUCCCACUCACCUAAGGCUUAAAGUUUAUGUAAGGUUACCCAGAAGAGAAUUCAUUAGUCAGGCUGAAAAUGAAAGCCCCCCCCCCCCCAAUAUACCAGUAGCUCCUGUUGGUUCUUGCAAAUGAAUGGUGCUAUUCAUUUUUAAAGUAUAGUUUGAUCUUAUUGAGAAGUGCUGAGUCCCAUUUUCUUGAAGACAACUGGAGUUGAGAAGUGGUCUUAAUCUCAAAAUUUAGAACUGCUACUUUAUAUCCUGAUGACAAUGUCUUCAGUCAAGAGUUUUCUGUUGUUCUUAGCACACCAAGGAAAAACCCUUCUGCCACUUUUUUCUUUCAUCUAAGCAGCAGGAUUGGGAGUAAAAAAAGUUAAAGUCUUACUCAGACUCUAAACUCUGAAUAAGUAAUUAAUAUUCCUUUUCUGCAAUUACUCAAAUCACUGCAAUUUCUUCUCCAGGUCAAAUCCCCAGUUGGCUUCCUGAAGGGAAGAAAAAAAUCAAUAAGCAAGCCUAAAAGUGUUUUAAAAAUAAGCUCAUAUGUUAUGGAGAGCUAGUGUAGGGGGAGAGACAGACAGGGCUCUAUGAGUUCAAUUUAGGAAAAUAUAAUUUCUGUUACUACUCAAGGAAUGUAUUUGCAACCCGUUGAUGAAAUGUUUAUCAUAAGCUAGGCUGUCAGGAUGUUGCUGCUAUUGGUGCUGCUGUUUCUAAUAACUCCUGUUUCUAUUACCUCUAAUUCUAUCCACUGCCCCAGGAAUAAUCCUUUUCCUGUUCUACAUGAGUGGUACCAGCCAGGUGAAUUCAUCAUUGGUGGAGUUCUUUCUCAGAGCUUUUACAAUUUCUAUGAAAUUUUGUAUAAGGAUCACCCAUCAAAGAACCUGUUUGAUGUUUCAUAGUAAGACUUUUUCAUUCCCCCUCUGGAUUGCCCUUUCCUUUCUUUCAUGCCUUUCAGACAGGAAUCCUAAAGGGAGGGCCUGUUUUAUCACUGACAUUUUCAAGCUGCAGUGGGAGCCAUAAUUUGCCUGAAUAUUUGAAUAAAAAAACCUUCUUUCUGUAUUUUUUUAAAAAAGAAUCUAGCCAUUGUCACAGUUUAUUUGAAUGAAAUGGUGUAUUUACAAUUGCUCUGCAGUUUACUUAUUGUGAGGAGUGGGGAAGAGAAGAGUGAAAAUGUAAAUAAAUAGUUAAGGUUACAUUACAGCUAAAGGUAGGUAGCCGUGUUGACCUGACAAAGUUUGUUCUUGGUAUAAGCUUUCAUGUGCAUGCUAGUAUCUGAAGAAGUGUGCAUGCACACAAAAGCUUAUACCAAAAACAAACUGAGUCAGUCUCCAAGGUGCUACUGGACAUUUUUUUUAUUUUCUAGAUAUAUAUUGAUUACAGAUAUAUUCAAAGAAUAAAAUUAUACACCAUUCUUCGAUCUCCCAAAGCUUCCUUGCCUUUUGAAGGAGUAUAAUAUUUUACUACCUCAUAUUCAAGAUCCUUUACAGACUUGAAUUUCUUAGGUUAGUUGUCUUGCCGCUGACAUUCAUGAGGGUAUUUGUCUUUCCAUUAUAUAUUUAUUUUGUGGCUCCUGAUCGGGGGGGGGGGACUCCAUGGGAGGAGUUAGAUCAUGGUGAAACUCCCUGGGCCAAAAUGUAAGUUCAGAAAGUUAUGGAGGGAUAUGGAAAUUGGUUGAAAUUUGUUGAGGCAGGCAGGGACUGCUACAGUUCACAUUAGAUAGCACAGAGAAACCUGAUAUUGUCAGAAUGGGGCAUUAUCCCAGAAAGAGAGGCUUACAUUGGGCUAGAAAACCUAAAGAAAUAGGAGACAAAUUUUGCCAUCAGCUAUGUAUUCUGGUGUGAAGGUAAAACCAGUGACAUCUGACUCCCCUUUGUGCAACAUCAAUGACUGUCCUUAGCUACAGUAGCCUGCACACCUGAAACCUGUAGUUCUAAUUUGCAAGAAACUUUCCUGACACUACCGCAAAUGUAUACAGUGGUACCUUGGGUUACAUAUGCUUCGGGUUACAUACGCUUCAGGUUACAGACUCCACUAACCCAGAAACAGUACCUCAGGUGAAGAACUUUGCUUCAGGAUAAGAACAGAAAUCAUGCUCCGGCGGCGCGGUGACAGCAGGAGGCCCCAUCAGCUAAAGUGGUGCUUCAGGUUAAGAACAGUUUCAGGUUAAGUACGGGCCUCAGGAACGAAUUAAGUACUUAACCCGAGCUACCACUGUACUGAGAAAAAAGCUAUCUGAAUUCAUAGGGCCAUUCGCAUAAGGGUGUAUAAAACUGCAGCUUUCAGUUAAAUGAAGUGGUUGGCUAUUUAAGGAGAAACAGAUUUGCUUUUUUGUUUUUCUUGAUCAACCGAGAUAGAAAUGUCAUGCAAUAGCAGAGCAGCAGGUAUGUGAAAGUAUCAUGCAAAGCAGCAAUGUCCUGAUCAUUGGACAGUAUGGAUUUUAUUAGCUUAGAUGUAUAAAUUACAAAUGCAACAUUUUCAUUUCAUUUUGAAACAGAAGAUGUCCAAUAUUGUAGUAUAUUCAUAUUUGUACCUAAUUUACUUUAUUUGCAGUAUGGUGCCAAAAUUUUAUCAGCACGUCCUUGCAUUGGCAUUUGCUGUGAAAGAAGUCAAUGAGAAUCCCAACAUCUUGCCCAAUAUCACACUUGGCUUCCACAUCUAUGACAGCUAUUAUGAUGCAAGGAUGACCUAUCGUACGACUCUAGAUCUCCUCUUCAAAAUGAGGACAUUUGUCCCCAACUACAAAUGUGACACCCAGAAAACCCUCAUAUCGACCAUUGGGGGACUUGGCCAUGAUACCACCUUCCAUAUGGCAGACACAUUAGGUAUCUACAAGAUUCCACAGGUAAGAGGUAUGAAGGCGUCAAUGAGAAUCUUUUCUUCCUGCCUCUAAGGGUUGCUUUCAUGUUUGGUUCUAGACGGAGUGGACCUAUUGGGAAGUAUUCUAGUCAAUAGUUUUACUGAGAACAGACUCAUCAAAAUUAAUGCAUCCAUCUUAGUUAUGAUCAAUAAUUUAAAAUUUAGUUAUGUACAAGCCUUAUAUAUCAUUAUCCCGUAUUCCUUGUAUAUUGCUUUUUCUGCUUUAUUUCUAGGGAUAUGUGAUUGAUCUGGUCACAGCUCAAAUCAAAAUGUGCAAUUAGAAAAAAAAGGUUAGAAUCUGUUGAAUAAAAAGCCAAAAGAUAUAGGAUGAAUGUUUUCCAUAUAACCUGAAAAUAUAUGUACAUUUUCUUUCAGUUUGCGUAUGGUUCAUUUCCCCCAGUGAAGAGUGAUGCAAGUCAGGUUCCUUCCUUUUACCGCAUGGUGCCCAGUGAAGCCCACCAGUUUCUUGGGAUUAUCCGCUUGCUUAAGCAUUUUGGAUGGAAGUGGAUCGGACUCUUUGCUCUGAAUGAUAACAGUGGAGAACAUUUCUUGCAGACCCUGGAGCCAUUGCUUUCUCAAAAUGGAAUUUGCUCAGCAUUCACACAAAAAAUUCCAAAAGAAGUCCACUUUGAUAAUGUGGAUGAUAUGCAUCAUAUAGCUUUCCAUAUGUAUAUACAAAUCAGAGAUAAUAAGGUCACUACAUUUAUUGUUUACGGAGAAUCUUUGGCAAUUAUAUCACUGAGAAUUAUUAUAUUUCUCCCAGAUCCUACAAAUAAGAAAAACACAUCGUUUAAAAAGGUAUGGAUCUUUACAGCAAGGACUGAUUUCAUAUCUAUGGGUCUUCUUAAGGUCUGGAAUGUUCUGCUCUUCCAGGGUUCCCUUUCCUUCACAAUCCACUCACAAAAUCUUCUAGCAUUCAAGGAAUUUCUUCAGAGCAUAAAGCCUUCCCAGAGCCAGGGAGAUGGUUUCAUCAAAGGCUUCUGGGAGCAAGCAUUUGACUGUAUUCUUCCCAAUUUCAAUGCACCAAUGGAGGUCUAUGGUAUGUGUACUGGAGAGGAGAGAUUGCAGAAUCUUCCAAGGUCUCUGUUUGAAAUGAGCAUGACUGGUCACAGCUACAGCAUCUAUAAUGGUGUCUAUGCUGUGGCUCAUGCCUUGCAUAACAUUUACUCCCCUAGAUCCAAGCAGAGAGGAAUGUGGAAAAGUGAAAGAUUAAAACAUCAGAAUCUGGAGCCUUGGCAGGUAUUGUUCUGAGAAUGAAGAGAAAAAAUAUUAUCAUUAUCUGCAUGACUUUAUCUACCACUGGAACUUAAGAUAUUUCUGCUUGGUUAUCUAAUAAAACUAUUAUUAUUUAGAAGUCAUCUGAAGGCAGCCCUGUAUCGGGAAGUUAUUAAUGUUUGAUUAUAUUUUAAUAUGUGUUAGAAGCCUCCCAGAGUGGAUGGGGCGACCUUGCCAGAUGGCUGGAGUAUAUAUAAUAAAUGAUGAUUAUGAUUACAUAGUAUUCCUGAAUAUUAUCAAGAAAUUUAAUUCAUCCGCAUAAACUGCUGCUAAGACUACAAUAGCUAAGAAUAUCUGAAUGGUUGGAGACAAUUUGGUCCAUAGUAACUAUGAUUACACCAACUUAUAAAAGAAUACAUAUAAACCAGCCUAACAGCUCUAUGGGAAAAAACAUAAUUUUUGUUAUAUUUUGGAAAAAUAAGUUCAGUUAUAAUGUCCAAGCUUAUGCUGCUUUCAACCUCUAGUAAUUGUAUUUAUUUAGGAUCUUUAAUUUCUUUUAUUUAUUGUUAAAAGAAAAAAAAAUAAGGACUUUAUCAAAUUAGGAAUCAGAAGUUCUGUUUAAAUGGUAUUGAAAAAUUGUAUUCACUGAAAAAAAUUAGUGUUUGAAUCUUAAAUUGUGUACUUCUUUUUGCCAAAUAAUAUUUUUCUUAGAGUUCUUCACCAUACGAUAACAUAACAGCUACAAAAACUACAGUCAAAACAGGAAGAAUGCCGAGUCCUUUCCUAGAGGCGAUUCACAGCUCUCACCUGAGAUCCCUCCUAUUUCCUCCCUUCCUCUCACUUUGGGGGCUAAUGCUUCCCUGUCUCCCACCUGGGCCCUCCAUCACCACCCCUAUGAAUAGUUAAUCCCUGGGCCUUAACAAGUGCCCCAAAUAUAGGACCUCACAAGAAAAAAAGAAAAGAGGGAAAGGAGAAAAUAAAGGGAAUAUUAGAGAUGAAUAAAAAGGGCUUCCAAUGCAUAAUAAAGUCUAUCUGUUGUGUCAAAAUCACAGAUAUUUUGCACAUGUUCUUUGUUAACUGAACCUAUGUUAUUAUACCUAAAUAAGAUUCAUGAAGACAUUUUUCUGUAAACCAUGGCAUUUUAUUCAAAAUCUCAUUUAUGCCGAUUCCCAUUCAACUUCAUUUUCUCUUUCUAAUAGCUGCAUCCUAUUCUUCAUGACAUUUCAUUUAACAACUCAGCUGGAGAAACCGUG
Non-coding RNA from Podarcis lilfordi (Lilford's wall lizard), 13932 nucleotides. Lineage: Eukaryota; Metazoa; Chordata; Lepidosauria; Squamata; Lacertidae. The record is from the annotation of a GenBank genome assembly.